CACGAUAAUCUCAACAAUAAACCUCUUGAAAGUUGAUUUAAUUCUAUAUUUUAACAGUCGUCCGUGCUCAUUAUAAAAUCGAUGGUGGAAGGGGUUCCUUAUUCACAUGUAAUGCUUACUGUUAAUCGGGAGAAUCUCGACAAUAAACCACUUGUGAGCUUAUUUAAAAAUAAGUUAUUGGCAAAAUUCUUAAAUGAUCCUUAAUAACUGCUAAUUAUUUUGAAAAGCAAAAAAAAACUAUCUUUAACUGAAUGAGGACCAAAGAACGUUCUAUAUUGACCUCUCGCUCAAAUAUGUUUUUACUGUGGAAACAUACACUUUCUCAAGCAAUGGUAAAUGAACCGCGGCUGUAAACAGUGAAAAAAAAGAAAAGAAGCAGCAGCAAUUCUGUUGCUUUAGAUACAAGUGUUGGGUCAAUUCUAUUACUUUAGAUUUGCAGGUACCAAUCUACAUAAGUAAUUAGCAAUAUCAGACGAAAAUAUAAUCAUACGUACAGCACUGGAACAGCUUUAUCACGAGGCUCCUUGGAACUGCUCUCGCAACAAUUCGUAUUUCCUGAGUUCCGCCAUUGAUAGUGAAGGAGAUAGGUCUCCUAAGACCUUCAAGGUGUAAACACAAUAUUUCAGAGAUCAUUAUGCCAGAUUUGGCAGUUUCUUUGAACUAAGAUUCUUUAACGGACAUGUGUGGAAUACAGUAUUAUUACAUGAGUGG
Molecule: long non-coding RNA, 711 nt
Filed under: Olea europaea subsp. europaea
Lineage: Eukaryota; Viridiplantae; Streptophyta; Magnoliopsida; Lamiales; Oleaceae
Source: RNAcentral